This 506-nucleotide ribosomal RNA is filed under the name uncultured bacterium. Its description in RNAcentral is "partial 16S ribosomal RNA". It matches the Rfam family "Bacterial small subunit ribosomal RNA", at positions 29 to 523 of the family's 1533-position model. The record is from RNAcentral.
AGUGAACGCUGGCGGUAGGCCUAACACAUGCAAGUCGAACGGCAGCACAGGAGAGCUUGCUCUCUGGGUGGCGAGUGGCGGACGGGUGAGGAAUACAUCGGAAUCUACUUUGUCGUGGGGGAUAACGUAGGGAAACUUACGCUAAUACCGCAUACGACCUACGGGUGAAAGCAGGGGAUCUUCGGACCUUGCGCGAUUGAAUGAGCCGAUGUCGGAUUAGCUAGUUGGCGGGGUAAAGGCCCACCAAGGCGACGAUCCGUAGCUGGUCUGAGAGGAUGAUCAGCCACACUGGAACUGAGACACGGUCCAGACUCCUACGGGAGGCAGCAGUGGGGAAUAUUGGACAAUGGGCGCAAGCCUGAUCCAGCCAUACCGCGUGGGUGAAGAAGGCCUUCGGGUUGUAAAGCCCUUUUGUUGGGAAAGAAAUCCAGCUGGUUAAUACCCGGUUGGGGUGACGGUACCCAAAGAAUAAGCACUGGCUAACUUCGUGCCAGCCGCCGCGGUAA